CAGUCGCCGCGGUAAUACGAAGGGUGCAAGCGUUACUCGGAAUUACAGGGCGUAAAGCGUGCGCAGGCGGUUUUGUAAGUCUGUCGUGAAAUCCCCGGGCUCAACCUGGGAAUGGCGAUGGAGACUGCAAGGCUAGAAUCUGGCAGAGGGGGGUAGAAUUCCACGUGUAGCAGUGAAAUGCGUAGAUAUGUGGAGGAACACCGAUGGCGAAGGCAGCCCCCUGGGCUAAGAUUGACGCUCAUGCACGAAAGCGUGGGGAGCAAACAGGAUUAGAUACCCCUGUAGUCCCUGUCUCUUAUAC
This 301-nucleotide ribosomal RNA is filed under the name uncultured bacterium. RNAcentral describes it as "partial 16S ribosomal RNA". It matches the Rfam family "Bacterial small subunit ribosomal RNA", at positions 509 to 807 of the family's 1533-position model. The record is from RNAcentral.